Molecule: ribosomal RNA, 434 nt
Filed under: Salmonella enterica subsp. enterica serovar Typhimurium
Lineage: Bacteria; Pseudomonadati; Pseudomonadota; Gammaproteobacteria; Enterobacterales; Enterobacteriaceae
Also listed under: 1 other name
Description: partial 23S ribosomal RNA
Rfam family: Bacterial large subunit ribosomal RNA
Source: RNAcentral
CGAUGUGGGAAGGCCCAGACAGCCAGGAUGUUGGCUUAGAAGCAGCCAUCAUUUAAAGAAAGCGUAAUAGCUCACUGGUCGAGUCGGCCUGCGCGGAAGAUGUAACGGGGCUAAACCAUGCACCGAAGCUGCGGCAGCGAACGUAUCACCCAAGACAACUUUACGGAGUUGACGAUUGACGGAGCGAAGCGACGUCAAAGCGUUCAUUAAAGUCGAGUUGGCUUAGGGAUACGUUCGUUGGGUAGGGGAGCGUUCUGUAAGCCUGUGAAGGUGUGUCGUGAGGCAUGCUGGAGGUAUCAGAAGUGCGAAUGCUGACAUAAGUAACGAUAAAGCGGGUGAAAAGCCCGCUCGCCGGAAGACCAAGGGUUCCUGUCCAACGUUAAUCGGGGCAGGGUGAGUCGACCCCUAAGGCGAGGCCGAAAGGCGUAGUCGAU